CAUCUGAUGCAGCCGGGUGGAUCCCAUCUGCUGCUUUAGCCAAGAAGGACCAACAAGAAAACCCAGCUCUGCCCUACGGAGUGCUAUGGAUUUAAACAAGCACUUCUCUUCCCGUCAACAGUGUUCUGUCAUGCAACAGCUUCAACAAUGAUUUAAGAACAUCAGUGGAUGAGAGUAAAGACAAGGACUUGAGCAACAUUCUUGCAUAGAACUUGACCGGGAAAGAACUCGAAAGCCACAUACCACACAUUUCAACCUAUCAGCAUGAUUUCAACCAACAGAAAAGCCCCAUACGUGGGCAGUUUUUCCUUCAAAACUACAAUUCAUGGGAGGAAGCGGAGAAGUUUCAACAAACACCACCUACUACAUAUCAACAACAUUUCUUCAACCCUCUUAAGAACUACCAUCUGAGCAACAGUGAGGAGUCAGGAGAUGACAUGAAGCUGCCCACUGAAGGCCCUUCAAACAUCACAGGAAUUUUUGAAACUCCUUUAAAAAAGGCAAGAAAGAAGUCCAUCGCAAUGCAACUUACCAUAGACAACUGCUUAACUUGGCCAGCAUCACUAAAAUAAGCCAAUCUCAAUGCCGCAAUUUUGGCAAAAACCUGGUGUG
Tachyglossus aculeatus (Australian echidna) is the source of this 612-nucleotide long non-coding RNA. RefSeq lists it as uncharacterized. The transcript is spliced from 3 exons. The record is from RefSeq and is a predicted model, not a curated record. NCBI's taxonomy places the organism in Eukaryota, Metazoa, Chordata, Mammalia, Monotremata, Tachyglossidae.